CCGGUAAACGGCGGCCGUAACUAUAACGGUCCUAAGGUAGCGAAAUUCCUUGUCGGGUAAGUUCCGACCUGCACGAAUGGCGUAAUGAUGGCCAGGCUGUCUCCACCCGAGACUCAGUGAAAUUGAACUCGCUGUGAAGAUGCAGUGUACCCGCGGCAAGACGGAAAGACCCCGUGAACCUUUACUAUAGCUUGACACUGAACAUUGAGCCUUGAUGUGUAGGAUAGGUGGGAGGCUUGGAAGUGUGGACGCCAGUCUGCAUGGAGCCGACCUUGAAAUACCACCCUUUAAUGUUUGAUGUUCUAACGUUGACCCGUAAUCCGGGUUGCGGACAGUGUCUGGUGGGUAGUUUGACUGGGGCGGUCUCCUCCUAAAGAGUAACGGAGGAGCACGAAGGUUGGCUAAUCCUGGUCGGACAUCAGGAGGUUAGUGCAAUGGCAUAAGCCAGCUUGACUGCGAGCGUGACGGCGCGAGCAGGUGCGAAAGCAGGUCAUAGUGAUCCGGUGGUUCUGAAUGGAAGGGCCAUCGCUCAACGGAUAAAAGGUACUCCGGGGAUAACAGGCUGAUACCGCCCAAGAGUUCAUAUCGACGGCGGUGUUUGGCACCUCGAUGUCGGCUCAUCACAUCCUGGGGCUGAAGUAGGUCCCAAGGGUAUGGCUGUUCGCCAUUUAAAGUGGUACGCGAGCUGGGUUUAGAACGUCGUGAGACAGUUCGGUCCCUAUCUGCCGUGGGCGCUGGAGAACUGAGGGGGGCUGCUCCUAGUACGAGAGGACCGGAGUGGACGCAUCACUGGUGUUCGGGUUGUCAUGCCAAUGGCACUGCCCGGUA
Molecule: ribosomal RNA, 828 nt
Filed under: Escherichia coli
Lineage: Bacteria; Pseudomonadati; Pseudomonadota; Gammaproteobacteria; Enterobacterales; Enterobacteriaceae
Description: partial 23S ribosomal RNA
Rfam family: Bacterial large subunit ribosomal RNA
Source: RNAcentral